UAUAUCAAUUGGAAUAUAUACAAAAUGUUAGGACGUGGAAAGGUAAGCCAAAAAUAUCUACAUCUUCUCAUAAGAUGGAGUAUUAAUAUUCUUAUUAUGAAUCGUGGAUUAUUAAUUGCAGCACACGUUUUUUUAAAACAAGCAUCUAUAAUCGCCUAAUAUUUUGUAUUUAUAUUCCAAGAUUCCAAGAAAAAUCUUCAGCAUAGAAAUUAAAAGAAAAGAGAUAGUAGUAGUAUACAUAUGUGAGGACUAGAAAAUGACUUUUUUGAAUACGUAUAAAUUCUAUAUCUACACACAUCUUGAUUUUUGUCAAAACUCGGCGUUGUUUAACAGAAUCUUUGAUUUCUAAACUCACUCAAAUCACUUCUCCUUACUGAGUAGUAGUAGUAGUAUUUAAUAAAUCCACUGGAAAAUAACGAAAAUCGGAGAAAUCUGUAAGAUCUGAUGGGGAAAUGGUAUCGCUAAUCAAUCUGGAUUCCCGAUUUUCAACCAAAUCGUGGCUUCCGAAACGAAUCGGCCGGUUUCUGGCCGACGUAUCGGAUAAGAUUUUGCAGCUAGACGGUUUUGUUAAUCAGCUGAUAGACGAGAUGAAGAAGAUCGACGCCUUCAAACGCGAGCUACCUCUUUGCAUGCUUAUCAUCACCGACAGUGCAAUCCGUUCAUCCUUUUUCUCUGGUUUUAGGAAUUAUGAUAGUUCAGGAGGAGGUAGCAGUGUGUAAGAAAUUAAAAUCUGGAAGAGUUGAUUCCUAUUUGAUGAUAAAAAGAGUUGUGUGCAGUUAUGGAACUCCGAUGAUCAAAAUGCUGAUUACACUAGCGACAAAAACAAAGGUAAUAGGAGUAGUAGAGAUGGGGAGUAUUUAAUUUGAUAGUGCUAAUUAUUCAAGAUGCUUUAUCUGAGAGUGGGAAGAAGAACGGAUUUGUGCCUCUUCUCCCAGUAAUGAAGGACAUGGAUGAGUUGCCUCUUUCUCUUUGUACGCCUGGAAUCAAGAAUUCAAUCAAUCCAGCCUUACCAGAUCAAGAUCAAGCUCAUCUCCUAGGAAGCAACGGAGAUGCUUGUCGCCUGAUCUUUGUCAAUGCCCUGCAGCAUCUUGGAGGCCCGCAAGGUCUGAAACUUGCAAACUUAUCACUCCAUUCAAAUGUGCUGAAUUACUGAUGAGAAAAAAAAUAUCAAGUGUUUGUGAGUUUUGGUGCAAUCAAUGUUUGUGGCUCUGCAUUUAUCAGGACAAAGUUGCUAAACUCAGCCUUACAAAUUUGUUUCCUUUGAAUAGCCUCCUUGUAAUUGUCGCUCUAUGCUUUACAGCUGCUACUCCCAAGCAGAUCAGAGAACAUAUGCAAGUAGAUGGUCUAACCAAUGACCAAGUGAAGAGUCAUUUACAGGUUUUGUUUUUAUCUCUCAUUGUAAGACAAAAUUGAUGCUACUGCUUCUUGACUUCCCUUUCAGAAGUAUCGGCUGCACAUGAGAAAAAUCCCCCCAAUCUGUUGGUCCGAGAACAAUUUGGCGAAUCCUUGGAGCAUAGCAAUGGCUCCCCCGAAGGCCCUCUUCAUUUAUCGAGUGACACCCUGGACGAAGAAUGAUCAGCAUACUACUCUUACUCAUAUCAUGGGUGCAAUAGUGUAUAAAUGGCCACCAUGAGUUUUGCAGAUAUAGUACAUGGCAGGGAUUUGAUCUUACUAAAAUACACAAAAUACGAAUCGAAUAUCAUGAGGCACAGUUGUAUCAAAUUUUUGCAGCAUUAGGUUACCCCAUCGGCUUUUCUGAAUACAGAAUUUUCAAUAAUUUGAUCUUUA
Long non-coding RNA from Salvia splendens (bonfire salvia), 1788 nucleotides. RefSeq lists it as uncharacterized. Lineage: Eukaryota; Viridiplantae; Streptophyta; Magnoliopsida; Lamiales; Lamiaceae. The record is from RefSeq and is a predicted model, not a curated record. The transcript has 2 exons.